CAAUGCUGAGGUGAACUACUGCCCUUACCAUCCAUAAACGGAGACAUCCAAAACACUGGAAGUAGUCAGUUUAAUACUUCUGUCUGAAAUUAAAAAGAACAAUGAGAAAACAUUAUGAAUGCUGAUGGACAAGACCUUUUCUAUCAAGAGACAUGAGGUUGUCAAGGAAUCGCCUUCAAUAGCAGAUUUCAAAACUAGAUGGCCUGCUCUUUUCAGAAGGGAAGAGAUUUGUGCAGAGUUUAAAAGAAUCACAACAGCCCCAUUGGUGUCUACAUACUUGGCGAAGAUGAAUCCAUAUUCUGCAAAGCUUAUAAGGAUCUAUGCAAAACGAGGAGUCGUCAAUGGACAGAGAAUUAAAAACCUGCUGGUCUCCACAACACGGACUGACAACAUUGAUCAGACUCGGAUCUUUCUUUGUCUACCUGAAUGAAGACCCGACCAGUCUAAUUAAAGAGUAUUUGGAUACAGAUGCACCCAGUACCCAGGAGGCGAUCCAGAAGAUGGUAAUGGGAGUGCUUGUUGUAAAAAUGUAUGGUUCAGACAUCGAAGACAGCCCAGCAGAUGUUGGAGUGUUAUUAAAGGGAUUAAGAGUUCUCGGACCUCAACAACAUUGUGUAUGCGACAACCAUGCUGAUGGGACUGAAAUAUGAACUGAACUUGAGCUACUUUCCCAAAUUCAGGUACACUUUUGAAGUAUUGCAGUUGUUGUUUCUGGAGCUAGAUGGGAAGUAACUAUCUCAUAAAGUUCAGACGCUGAAGACCAAGCCUUUUGCAGAUGUUUUGAGAAAGGAAUGUUUUAAUAUUUCAUAUGUAAAUGCCAUGUUUUUGAAAUGGCAGUACAAUAACAUUCAGGAAGUAAGCAGUGUCGUCAAUUUAUUUUGAUAGUUUUGCAGUGUGUUUCUAUUUAAUUAGAUUAAUGUAGAGUUGUUUAAAGCUUUGGCUGUACGUAAAUGGUCCUGCAUCUAAUUUGUCAUGGAAUGUUAACGUUUAUAAUGUUUUUACAGUACCAUUUAACUUAAAAUUAUACCAAAGUUGUUGAAAAAUCUUUGGAAGUCGCAUGU
Molecule: non-coding RNA, 1061 nt
Organism: Paramisgurnus dabryanus
Lineage: Eukaryota; Metazoa; Chordata; Actinopteri; Cypriniformes; Cobitidae
Source: RefSeq, a predicted model, not a curated record